AUUAAACGCUGGCGGCAUGCCUUACACAUGCAAGUCGAACGGCAGCACGGGGGCAACCCUGGUGGCGAGUGGCGGACGGGUGAGUAAAGCAUCGGAACGUAUCCUGGAGUGGGGGAUAACGUAGCGAAAGUUACGCUAAUACCGCAUAUUCUGUGAGCAGGAAAGCAGGGGAUCGCAAGACCUUGCGCUCUGGGAGCGGCCGAUGUCGGAUUAGCUAGUUGGUGGGGUAAAAGGCCUACCAAGGCGACGAUCCGUAGCGGGUCUGAGAGGAUGAUCCGCCACACUGGGACUGAGACACGGCCCAGACUCCUACGGGAGGCAGCAGUGGGGAAUUUUGGACAAAUGGGCGGAAGCCUGAUCCAGCCAUGCCGCGUGAGUGAAGAAGGCCUCGGUUGUAAGACUCUUCGUC
Molecule: ribosomal RNA, 409 nt
Filed under: uncultured bacterium
Lineage: Bacteria
Description: bacterial SSU rRNA
Rfam family: Bacterial small subunit ribosomal RNA
Source: RNAcentral